This 474-nucleotide ribosomal RNA is filed under the name uncultured bacterium. RNAcentral's name for it is "bacterial SSU rRNA". It matches the Rfam family "Bacterial small subunit ribosomal RNA", at positions 30 to 497 of the family's 1533-position model. The record is from RNAcentral.
UGAACGCUAGCGGCAGGCCUAACACAUGCAAGUCGAGGGGUAACAGGAAGAAGCUUGCUUCUUCGCUGACGACCGGCGCACGGGUGCGUAACACGUAUGCAACCUACCUCUUACUGAGGGAUAGCCCAGAGAAAUUUGGAUUAAUACCUCAUAACACCACAGAAUCGCAUGAUUUCGUGGUUAAAGGUUACGGUAAGAGAUGGGCAUGCGGACUAUUAGUUUGUUGGUGAGGUAAUGGCUCACCAAGACUACGAUGGUUAGGGGGUCUGAGAGGAUUAUCCCCCACACUGGUACUGAGACACGGACCAGACUCCUACGGGAGGCAGCAGUGAGGAAUAUUGCGCAAUGGACGAAAGUCUGACGCAGCCAUGCCGCGUGAAGGAUGACGGCGCUACGCGUUGUAAACUUCUUUUAUAUACCAAGAAACCUUCGGACGUGUCCGAAACUGACGGUAGUAUAUGAAUAAGCACCGGC